CAGCUUUCAGGAAGAUGUAUUUGGCAAGUAUCCACAGAAGGAGACUUCUAAGGGAAAGUUAUUGCUCUCUUAGAUGCCUGCAAGAAAAGCUUGCAGAAGGCAGUGAGUGAAGGAAGGGAGCAGCACUUUGCACUUUAAGAGGGACUGCCAAGAUAUGCUCUUUUGCCAACUCUGCCAGUGGAGAUGUGGCCCAAUUUGAUGUCUGAGACCCAAGGCACCCUGAGAUGCACUACACUCCAUUUUCAUCUUACUCUCUCAAAAAGAUGAUGUGAUGUGAACGUCAUGAACAGCACAGCUUUACUAAAACUGAAAAAUGGAGAGAAAAUGGACUAAAUAGAUGAAAUACAGUUUAAAGUGAUAUACUUAUUUUUAUUUAUUAUGUAAAUUAGAUUCAUAAAAGUCUCUUCAUAAGACAAGAGAAGAAACGAUUGAGAAAAGCAUGUGCUCUCUUUUCAGAUUUUCACUGAUUGACCUCUCCCUCAGUCCAUCCAUCCCUCCAGCUCCCACUUUUGAUUUGAGGGCUUAUUUCCUUUAGUGCCUCUCUUCUUGCCCCUAACCCCAGAAGCCUUAGAUAUUCUUGCUAUUUUUCAUCUGUUCCAGACUUUCUGCUUUCAUGAGAUACUACGCAUAUGAAGAUCUCAUUUGGUAUCACAAAACUGUUUAAAAGAAAGACUUGAACAUCACAGGAAAAUAAAGUGGGAUACAGAAGAAAACAGAAAGUAUAGCAAUUUCUUUAGAAAUAUGUGACGGUGUCAACAAAAAAACAUGAUAAAUGUUUACCAUCCCAACAAGUCAUCUGUGGAUGUGAAUAAAGUGUGAGUGAUUGACUUCAUCCCACCUUGUUUCAAUAAAACAUAUCAUAGAAAGAUAUAGGAAGUAAUCAGAUUAACAUAAUGGAAAUGGUUUUUACAACAGGAAUCACAAGAAAUGAAAACAGACUUCCUUGAGAAAGCUGAACGGAAGUUACUGGUAUAGUUGAGAGACUGUUGUACAGACAAUACAUUAGUAAUGAUCUGGGAAUUAGAAGUGGGAAUGUAAUAAUUAGAUUUAUUGAUAGUGCAAAUUUGAGAGGCCUCUUCAACAUGCUGGAGAAUCAGAAUAUAGAAUCAUAGAAUCAUUAAGGCUGGAAAGACCACUAGAUCAUAAAAUAUUACCAUCACCCCACGCCUGUGGCUGCUCUAGACAAAUGUCACUCAGUAUGAUAUCUACCUUCUAAAGAACCUAAUGGUGUACAAGUCCAUGGAACCUGACAGGAUCUAUACAUGGAUUAUGAACAAAGCAGAUAUCCAGCAUAUUUGAAAGGUCAUGGCAGUCUGGUGAAGUUAUACUGACUUGAAAAGUGAAAAUAUAACCCCAGUUUAAAGAAGGAAAAAAAG
This is a long non-coding RNA of Gallus gallus (chicken), 1376 nucleotides long. The record is from Ensembl. NCBI's taxonomy places the organism in Eukaryota, Metazoa, Chordata, Aves, Galliformes, Phasianidae.